GGAAAGGCGCGCGAUACAGGGUGACAGCCCCGUACACAAAAAUGCACAUGCUGUGAGCUCGAUGAGUAGGGCGGGACACGUGGUAUCCUGUCUGAAUAUGGGGGGACCAUCCUCCAAGGCUAAAUACUCCUGACUGACCGAUAGUGAACCAGUACCGUGAGGGAAAGGCGAAAAGAACCCCGGCGAGGGGAGUGAAAAAGAACCUGAAACCGUGUACGUACAAGCAGUGGGAGCACGCUUAGGCGUGUGACUGCGUACCUUUUGUAUAAUGGGUCAGCGACUUAUAUUCUGUAGCAAGGUUAACCGAAUAGGGGAGCCGAAGGGAAACCGAGUCUUAACUGGGCGUUAAGUUGCAGGGUAUAGACCCGAAACCCGGUGAUCUAGCCAUGGGCAGGUUGAAGGUUGGGUAACACUAACUGGAGGACCGAACCGACUAAUGUUGAAAAAUUAGCGGAUGACUUGUGGCUGGGGGUGAAAGGCCAAUCAAACCGGGAGAUAGCUGGUUCUCCCCGAAAGCUAUUUAGGUAGCGCCUCGUGAAUUCAUCUCCGGGGGUAGAGCACUGUUUCGGCAAGGGGGUCAUCCCGACUUACCAACCCGAUGCAAACUGCGAAUACCGGAGAAUGUUAUCACGGGAGACACACGGCGGGUGCUAACGUCCGUCGUGAAGAGGGAAACAACCCAGACCGCCAGCUAAGGUCCCAAAGUCAUGGUUAAGUGGGAAACGAUGUGGGAAGGCCCAGACAGCCAGGAUGUUGGCUUAGAAGCAGCCAUCAUUUAAAGAAAGCGUAAUAGCUCACUGGUCGAGUCGGCCUGCGCGGAAGAUGUAACGGGGCUAAACCAUGCACCGAAGCUGCGGCAGCGACACUAUGUGUUGUUGGGUAGGGGAGCGUUCUGUAAGCCUGUGAAGGUG
RNAcentral lists this ribosomal RNA (911 nucleotides) under Escherichia coli. RNAcentral's name for it is "partial 23S ribosomal RNA". It matches the Rfam family "Bacterial large subunit ribosomal RNA", at positions 344 to 1258 of the family's 2925-position model. The record is from RNAcentral. Lineage: Bacteria; Pseudomonadati; Pseudomonadota; Gammaproteobacteria; Enterobacterales; Enterobacteriaceae.